GACUAGUGGCGAACGGGUGAGUAACGCGUAAGUAACCUGCCCCUAAGUAGGGGAUAACUCUGAGAAAUUAGAGCUAAUACUGUAUGUGGUGGUGGGGGUAAUGCUUCAUCACUAAAGCCUUAGGGCGCUUAGGGAGGGGCUUGCGUCCGAUUAGCUAGUUGGUAGGGUAAUGGUUUACCAAGGCGAUGAUCGGUAGCUGGUUUGAGAGGACAUCCAGCCACACUGGGAUUGAGAUACGGCCCAGACUCCUACGGGAGGCAGCAGCAAGGAAUUUUGUGCAAUGGGCGAAAGCCUGACACAGCGACGCCGCGUGGGGGAUGAAGGCCUUCGGGUUGUAAACCCCUUUUCUCAGGGAAGAAUAAUGACGGUACCUGGGGAAUAAGUCUUGGCUAACUACGUGCCAGCAGCCGCGGUAAUACGUAGGAGGCGAGCGUUAUCCGGAUUUACUGGGCGUAAAGAGGGCGUAGGCAGUUUUUCAAGUCGAUUGUAAAAUCUCCCGGCUUAACUGGGAGGGGCCAGUCGAUACUGUUAGACUAGAGAGCAGCAGGGGGAGGUGGAAUUCCCGGUGUAGUGGUGAAAUGUGUAGAUAUCGGGAGGAACACCAGUGGCGAAGGCGGCCUCCUAGGCUGUUUCUGACGCUGAGGUCCGAAAGCGUGGGGAGCAAACAGGAUCAGAUACCCUGGUAGUCCACGCUGUAAACUAUGGACACUAGGUAUAGGGAGUAUCG
RNAcentral lists this ribosomal RNA (727 nucleotides) under uncultured bacterium. RNAcentral describes it as "bacterial SSU rRNA". It matches the Rfam family "Bacterial small subunit ribosomal RNA", at positions 90 to 834 of the family's 1533-position model. The record is from RNAcentral.